RNAcentral lists this ribosomal RNA (451 nucleotides) under uncultured bacterium. Its description in RNAcentral is "partial 16S ribosomal RNA". It matches the Rfam family "Bacterial small subunit ribosomal RNA", at positions 28 to 507 of the family's 1533-position model. The record is from RNAcentral.
GAUGAAUGCUGGCGGCGUGCCUAACACAUGCAAGUCGAGCGGCAACGCGGGGUGCUUGCACCCCGUCGGCGAGCGGCGAACGGCUGAGUAACGCGUAGGAAUUUGCCCCAAAGUGAGGAAUAACUGCCCGAAAGGGUAGCCAAUUCCGCAUAAGGUCUUCGGACUAAAGGAUUUAUACGCUUUGGGCGGUGCCUUCGUUGGUUUAGGUUGUUGGCAGGGGAAUGGCCUACCAAGCCGACGAUCCAUAGCUGGGCUGAGAGGAUGGUCAGCCAGACUGGAACUGAGACGCAGUCGGGACUCUUACGGGAGGCAGCAGAGACUGAUCGAGCACAGUGGGCUGAAGGCUGAAGGAGCUAGGCUGCGUAAAGGAUGUAGGCCGUCAGGUAGUAAACUUCUUUUAUGAGUGAAGAAUAUGACGGUAACUCAUGAAUAAGCACCGGCUAACUACGUG